Molecule: ribosomal RNA, 499 nt
Filed under: uncultured bacterium
Lineage: Bacteria
Description: partial 16S ribosomal RNA
Rfam family: Bacterial small subunit ribosomal RNA
Source: RNAcentral
GAUGAACGCUGGCGGCGUGCCUAAUACAUGCAAGUCGAGCGAACAGACGAGAGUGCUUGCACUCUCUGACGUUAGCGGCGGACGGGUGAGUAACACGUGGGUAACCUACCUAUAAGACUGGGAUAACUUCGGGAAACCGGAGCUAAUACCGGAUAAUAUAUAGCUUCGCAUGAAGCAAUAGUGAAAGACGGUUCUGCUGUCACUUAUAGAUGGACCCGCGGUGUAUUAGCUAGUUGGUGAGGUAACGGCUCACCAAGGCAACGAUACAUAGCCGACCUGAGAGGGUGAUCGGCCACACUGGGACUGAGACACGGCCCAGACUCCUACGGGAGGCAGCAGUAGGGAAUCUUCCGCAAUGGACGAAAGUCUGACGGAGCAAUGCCGCGUGAGUGAAGAAGGUUUUCGGAUCGUAAAACUCUGUUGUAAGGGAAGAACAAGUACGUUAGUAACUGAACGUACCUUGACGGUACCUUACCAGAAAGCCACGGCUAACUACGUG